UCUUCCGAUCAUGUGUCCCAAGUAGCGCGGGCCUCGUGGAAUCCCGUGUGAAUCGGCCCCGACCGUGGGGUAAGUCUAAGCAUACCUGUCUGACCGAUAGCGUACCAGUACCGUGAGGGAAAGGUGAAAAGCACCCCGGGAGGGGAGUGAAAGAGUUCCUGAAACCGUGCGCCUACAAUCCGUCGGAGCCUCCUUGUGGGGUGACGGCGUGCCUAUCGAAAAAUGAGUCUGCGAGUCAGUGGUGCGUGGCGAGGCUAACCCGUGGUGGGGGAGCCGUAGCGAAGGCGAGUCUCAAAAGGCGUUUUGAGUCGCGCGCCCUGGACCCGAAGCGGGAUGAUCUAGCCCUGGGCAGGUUGAAGCGCGGGUAAGACCGCGUGGAGGACCGAACCCACCUGGGUUGAAAACCGGGGGGAUGACCUGGGGCUAGGGGUGAAAGGCCAAUCAAAUUCCGUGAUAGCUGGUUCUCUCCGAAAUGCAUUUAGGUGCAGCGUCGGUUGAUUGCAUCGCGGGGGUAGAGCUACUGGAUGCUUGCGGGCCCGUGUCGGGUACCAAUAGCAGCCAAACUCCGAAUACCGUGGAUGUGUAUUCCGGCAGUGAGUCGGCGGGGGAUAAGCUCCGUCGUCGAGAGGGAGACAGCCCAGAUCGUCGUCUAAGGUCCCGAAGCGUGUGCUAAGUGGGAAAGGAUGUGGAGUCGCAUAGACAGCCAGGAGGUUGGCUCAGAAGCAGCCAUCCUUGAAAGAGUGCGUAACAGCUCACUGGUCUAGUGGUUCCGCGCCGACAAUGUAGCGGGGCUCAAGCACACCACCGAAGACGCGGCAGCGGCCUUUGCGGCCGUUGGGUAGGAGAGCGUCCCGCGUGGGGCGAAGCGGCCGGGGAACCGUGCCGUGGACCGCGCGGGAGUGAGAAUGCAGACAUGAGUAGCGAGAGACGGGUGAGGAUCCCGUCCGCUGGAUGACCAAGGGUUCCAGGGCCACGUUCAUCGUCCCUGGGUGAGUCGGGUCCUAAGGCGAGGCCGACAGGCGUAGUCGAAUGGAUGAACGGGUGGAUAUUCCCGUACCGGCGGCGUACCGUAAGAGCCGAACGGAUGAGUACUAACCUCCGGUCGGGGUUCGGGGUCCGCGGUCGUUGGGAGCGUAGUCCUGGUAGGCUAGCGCACAGGGGUGACACGGAAUGGGAGCCGGCCGCGGAGGUGGUUUUCCGUGGUCAAGCACGCAGCCCGUCCCAUAGGCAAAUCCGUGGGACGCAUAGGGUGAGGUGUGAUGAUGGGCGUCUUUGAUGGCGCGAUAUCCGGUGGUCCAGGCCGUCGAGAAAAGCCUCGGCGCGAGGGGCGUCGCCGCCCGUACCCCAAACCGACACUGGUGGUCAGGUAGAGAAUACCAAGGCGAUCGAGCGAAUCCUGGUCAAGGAACUCGGCAAAUCACUCCCGUGCCUUCGGUAUAAGGGAGACCCCCGGGCGUGAAGAGGCUUGCCCUCGGAGCGUUGGGGGGUGGCACAGACCAGGGGGUAGCGACUGUUUACCAAAAACACAGGUGCAUGCGAAGGCGCAAGCCGCUGUAUAUGCACUGACGCCUGCCCGGUGCCGGAAGGUUAAGAGGAUCCGUCAGCCCCUUUUGGGGUGAAGCGGUGAAUUCAAGCCCCGGUAAACGGCGGUGGUAACUAUAACCAUCCUAAGGUAGCGAAAUUCCUUGUCGGGUAAGUUCCGACCUGCACGAAUGGCGUAACGACUUCCCCACUGUCUCGACCAGGAGCUCGGCGAAAUUGCAGUACGAGUAAAGAUGCUCGUUAAGCGCAGAAGGACGAAAAGACCCCGGGACCUUUACUAUACCUUGGUAUUGGCGUUAGGCGCGGAUUGUGUAGCAUAGGCGGGAGGCUUCGAAGCAUGGGCGCCAGCCCGUGUGGAGCCGCAAGGUGAAAUACCGCUCUGUUCUCGUUUGACGUCUCACCUCGAACAGUCAUCCUGUUCAGGGACAGUGCCUGGCGGGUAGUUUAACUGGGGCGGUUGCCUCCCAAAGAGUAACGGAGGCGCUCAAAGGUCCGCUCAGCCCGGUUGGCAAUCGGGUUUCGAGUGUAAUCGCACAAGCGGGCUUGACUGCGAGAACGACGGUUCGGGCAGGGACGAAAGUCGGAGAUAGUGAUCCGGUGCCGGCGCACGGGCGCGGCAUCGCUCAACGGAUAAAAGGUACUCCGGGGAUAACAGGCUGAUCAUUCCCAAGAGUCCAUAUCGACGGGGAGGUUUGGCACCU
RNAcentral lists this ribosomal RNA (2243 nucleotides) under metagenome. Its description in RNAcentral is "bacterial LSU rRNA". It matches the Rfam family "Bacterial large subunit ribosomal RNA", at positions 391 to 2526 of the family's 2925-position model. The record is from RNAcentral.